This 2161-nucleotide long non-coding RNA is filed under the name Cricetulus griseus (Chinese hamster). Its description in RNAcentral is "lncRNA (ENSCGRG00015043156.1)". The record is from RNAcentral. Lineage: Eukaryota; Metazoa; Chordata; Mammalia; Rodentia; Cricetidae.
CAGGACCCAGCCUGUGGGAUGGGACCAGAGGGGCCCUCCCAUCUCAAUUAACCCAGUGCCCAGAGGUUUGUCCCCUAGGUGGCUGUACAUCCUGCUAAAUGGGCAGUCAACAAUAACCACCACAGCUGGGUUUCUCCCAUCCCUGCUCGACUCCUUCCAUGUCUGUAGCCCAUGAAUUCACAGGGCUUACAUUCAGGGCUAGCCUUUGCCUGUUACUGCUGUGGAAAUGUCUCCCAGUACAGCUCAGAGGUAUGCCUCCAUCUUCUAGGUAAUUCUAAAUCCAGUCAACCUGACAAUGGAGAUUAAUGGUCAUAGCCUCCAGCCAGGCCCUCUCCCCGGCUCUGUAGUAACCGAAGACGUUUACAUUCUGCAGUUCUCACCAGUGUUUUUUUUUUGGAAGAAGAUAUCCAGGGUCACUAAGAGGCCAACUCUCUUGAGCAAUUCACUGGUGACAGGCCCACUCCACAGGGAAAGUGCUUGUCUUAGGCUUGCCACAAGAAGUUCUGGAUAAUUCAUCGGCUUUGCUGAAGGUGAUGACUCUCAACUGUCACCCAUGCUGCUCGUGCAGACAACUUGUUAACUACACAGAAACAACGAUUUCUUUCCUGUGUUUUGAAAGCCAGAAGAACUCCCUGCUUUGGUUCUGGUGACGCCCCAGGGACACUUGAGCUGAGAAUAUCUCUUUCCAGGAAGGAGCCACCAGUAUGAAAGCGCAGAUUCCCUUUUACCCCGCACAACUGAAAACAAAGCACUGGCCCCUCAAUGGGCCUAGACCAGACACAGUCACGACAGGAACGCCCUUGCCUCAGUACAGCUGCCAGGGGUUCCAUCCAGAACUUAAAACUGCAAACCCAUGGGGUUUGGGAAGAAGAGACCCAUGCCUGGGAUCACCAAUGUAUGUAUGGGUAAGGUGGAGCGGUCAGCCACCAAAGAAGCAGGAAUGGGGGGGCAGUUUCUGGACCACACCAUUUCAAUAAAUGAAGACAAAAGAAGAGAAACCUCUAGGGUAAUGAACCCUCGAAAAACUCCACCAAGACUGAAUGAUGGGUUUGAAGUCUAGAAGAGCAGGCCAUGUGGUUACAUGAUAUCCAGGUAAAAAAGAUCUCAACAGGGGAAUCUUGUAGAGGUCAGUAGACUGACCUUGCUCCUUCCUACCUGCCUGCCUUUGCCCUUUGGGUCUGCACCUGUUCUUAGCAGCCAGCAUCUGUCUCGGGCAACUGAGGAGUACCAAGGCCACUAGGGAGUACCAAAAGGUACUAGGGAGUGCUGAAGGGCACUGAGGAGCACUGAGGAGCACUGAGGAACAUUGAGGAUGCCGGGAAGUACUGAGGCUUGUGGGUGGGAGAGGAGUUUGUGCUCCCAGCAGAGGAAGGAGCAAACUGCAUGGGGUGGAAAAAUACUGACUAGUACGUUUCACCAUGGAAGGCUGGAGCAGCUUGUCACACACACUCAAGCCUGCAGCACUCAGGCAGAGUGUCAGGAAUAUGUGCUCAGUUUUACCGAUGUUCCUUCUGAACUGCAGUCUUUACUUUUUGUGAGCAUAUGAAGUCCAAAGGUCAGUUUGGGUUUCUUUCUCUGCACUGUCCACCUUAUCCUUUGAGACAAGGUCUCUCACUGAACUUGGAGCUCACGGAUGUGGCUAGACUGGCUGGCCAGUGAGCCCAGGGAACCCCCCCUCUCCAGUGCUGGGGUGGAGAUGGUCCAAUACUUGAGAGGAGGAGGCAGGAUGGUCAGAAAUUCAAGUUUAUUCUCACCAACUUAGAGGCCAGCCUUGGCUACAUGAAAGUCUGUUCUGGAAAAAAAAUCAUCAAUAGAUAACCAAUAUUCUGCUUCCAAAAUAGAAUUUGUGUGUUUCACCUCAUUUUAACCUUCCAUCAUAAGUCAUCCUUUUAUCUCAUGGUUGAAAGUGAUGGUUUGAAACAGAAGAUGGGUUUGGGGGGGAAUAAGAAGAAUUCCUGGAACCAGUCUCUCAGGAUGGCAAUGGUCUACCUGUUCAAGCCUGGAGGCUUUUUAUCAUCUGCUGUUAUUCUCUCAAGUGCCAGGAAGGGCCAGGGCAUGCUGGGUAAGUGUUCUUCCUCUGACCCCUCAAGAGCUUUUUAAGCCUUAUGCAUUUCUCAGGCUUACCACUAGCUGCCUGCUGGAGAGGACACCAGCACACUUU